This 468-nucleotide ribosomal RNA is filed under the name uncultured bacterium. Its description in RNAcentral is "partial 16S ribosomal RNA". The stretch from base 49 to 468 matches the Rfam family "Bacterial small subunit ribosomal RNA", at positions 39 to 507 of the family's 1533-position model. The record is from RNAcentral.
GGGGGGGGGGGGGGGGGGGGGGGGGGGGGGGGGGGGGGGGGGGAGGGCGCGGCGGGGGGGGGGGGGGCGAGGGGCGAACGGGUGAGUAACACGUGAGUAACCUGCCCUGGACUUUGGGAGAACUUCAGGAAAGUGGGGCCAAUACCGGAUAGGAGCUCCUGCUGCAUGGGGGGGGUUGGAAAGUUUCGGCGGUUGGGGAUGGACUCGCGGCUUAUCAGCUUGUUGGUGGGGUAGUGGCUUACCAAGGCUUUGACGGGUAGCCGGCCUGAGAGGGUGACCGGCCACAUUGGGACUGAGAUACGGCCCAGACUCCUACGGGAGGCAGCAGUGGGGAAUAUUGCACAAUGGGCGGAAGCCUGAUGCAGCAACGCCGCGUGCGGGAUGACGGCCUUCGGGUUGUAAACCGCUUUCGCCUGUGACGAAGCGUGAGUGACGGUAAUGGGUAAAGAAGCACCGGCUAACUACGUG